UAGGGAAUCUUCGGCAAUGGGGGGAACCCUGACCGAGCAACGCCGCGUGAGUGAAGAAGGUUUUCGGAUCGUAAAGCUCUGUUGUUAAGGAAGAAAGAGUGUGAGAAUGGAAAGUUCAUACUGUGACGGUACUUAACCAGAAAGGGACGGCUAACUACGUGCCAGCAGCCGCGGUAAUACGUAGGUCCCGAGCGUUGUCCGGAUUUAUUGGGGGUAAAGCGAGCGCAGGCGGUUAGAUAAGUCUGAAGUUAAAGGCAGUGGCUCAACCAUUGUAGGCUUUUGAAAAUGUUUAACUUGAGUUGAGAAGGAGAGAGUGGAAUUCCAUGUGUAGCGGUGAAAUUCGUAGAUAUAUGGAGGAACACCGGUGGCGAAAGCGGCUCUCUUGUCUGUUACUGACGCUUAGGCUCGAAAGCGUGGGGAGCGAACAGG
This 429-nucleotide ribosomal RNA is filed under the name Bacteroidota bacterium. RNAcentral describes it as "Bacteroidetes bacterium partial 16S ribosomal RNA". It matches the Rfam family "Bacterial small subunit ribosomal RNA", at positions 355 to 776 of the family's 1533-position model. The record is from RNAcentral. Lineage: Bacteria; Pseudomonadati; Bacteroidota.